This 5625-nucleotide long non-coding RNA is filed under the name Homo sapiens (human). RNAcentral describes it as "HSALNT0393697". Lineage: Eukaryota; Metazoa; Chordata; Mammalia; Primates; Hominidae. The record is from RNAcentral.
GAACCCACAGUAAAUCACAAGAGGAGCUGUGAAAUGUUACCUUUCGAAAUAAGAUAAGCACCACACAGCUAGUCAGGGAAAGGGGUGCAUUCUGCUUCAGAAAGGGUUGCAAAUCUUUAAAAAUUACACGUAUACCUUAUAAUUCUGAGACCUUCUACAGUAAUCAUAUGUAUUGCCCUUCCUGGUUAAUAUUCUUGAUAUUAAAGUAAUAGUAGAGGAGAAAUUCACCAACUCUUUGUUUCAGCCCUUGUUAUCUUGUUUUAUACACUGUUAAGUGUUCAUUAAUAUUUGGGAUAUUCGGUACCUUGUAAGGAUAUCGUAGCUCUGUAAGGCAAAGUGAAAAAUGAGGUAGAUAAUGUAACAAUAAUAAAUUAUCUUGACAUUCACUUUCUUUAUGGUCCUUCAAGGGUCAUUGUUCCCAAUUUAUAAGAGAACUACAUCAUCAAAAAUUUUCUUCAAUUAUCACUUUUUUUACCCUUAGUACUACUACUGCAAAUAGAAUAACUUUUGUGAACUUCAUAUAAUGUUCAAAUUUUGCACUUAUAUAACCAGUUACAGGAAUUUCAUCUAAGUAGCCUUUUGUGUUGAUUCUUAAAAGGCUAUAAGAUAUUUUAAAUCCCUUUUUAAGAGAGGCUUUUGACUAUAUUAUCCCAUUAUGCCAUCAAAGCAAAAGAUACAAGCUGUGUUGGAAAGAUUGUAGACAGAGAGACCAAUCCUAAAAUAUGCCAUAAUUUAGGAGUGAGAUUUGAAGACACUGAGGACCUGAAUUAGAGUUUUAGUAGAAGAAAUAGAAAGGGGUGAUGCAAAUGAUAUUUUAAAGGAAGAAGAUGUAAAACUUGGCAAGUAAUAAAAUAUGAGAGCUGAGGGAAAAUAACAUUCAAACAGCAGUCAAAAAUUGGGAGUUAGGAUGAUUAGUUUGAAACUUGAAGCAAGCCUUUGACUCUUUGCUUCUUUUUUUCACUGAUACUACUGGAAUAAUAUACUUCACAAGGAAAACAUGUGGUCCAAUAUUGAAUAAGUGUAAUUGUUAAGUGCCAUGCCCCUCAGAUAAUAUAGUUUAUAUUUAAUGAAUUAAUGAUCUCUAUUAAAAUAGAUGCCGAGAUUCUUGUUCAAUGUCGAUUGCAAGACAAGGAGUGCUACAGGUUUUUAUCAAGUAAAUGUAUGUUGCUUGGAGAUUUUCCAGGUUGUGUUUAUGAAGUACCAAAACACUUAGGAGGUAGUAUAUAGCACGGUGAUUAACGAUUUGGCUUCUUGAGUAAGACUGCCUGGCUAGAUGAUGUACUAGGUGUGUGGCCUUUGACAUGUCACCCAACCUCUCUCAGCCUCAGAUUGCUCAUCUGGAACAUGGGGAUGAUAAUGGUCUCUUUCUCACAGGGCUAUUGGCAAAUACAUAUAAGUGCUUGUCAUAGUGUCCAGCAUUUUGUUCAUGUUCAGGAACUGUCAAUUAAUAUUAUCUGGAUAAAAGGUUUUUAAAAAUUGACCAUGAAGAUGUUUGCAUUUAAACAUUUCCUAAUAAUGUUUAAGUGGCAACUAAAUAAUAUUUGUUUAGAUAAUUUGUUACCAUAUAGGCAUGAUAUUUGUUAUGGAUGUUAAUGUAUUCAACUUUUGAUAGUCCUGAAAUUAUCCCAAUAGAUAUCAUUGAUAAUUUUAGAGCAAUAUUUUAGUUAUGUUUGCUUUUUCUAGAUUUUCUUGAUAUAUUUGAAGGAAAUAUGUGCCUUGGAAAAUUCAGAAAGAUAAUGAAGAACAACAAUAAUGAAAACAGUGGCAGGGAGAAAAGUAGGAAUAAAAUAAAGAGAAGACGAGUCAGAUUUCAUAAAGUAAAGACUUAACCAGGUCCAUGUCUUCUGUGGGGUCCGUGAGCCUCUGAAAUUAUAAUAAAAUGCUGUAGAUAGAUGUUUUUGCACAUGUGCAUUUUUUGGAGGAAGCUUUUUAAUGUGAUCAUCAAAGGGAUUUCUGAUCUUUAAAAAAUUGAGAUUUUUCUGGUAUGAGGGACUAAAAACUCAUCUAAAUAUAAAAUAAAAUUUCAAAGCAGUUGCAAAAUUAAGUGCCUGCAGAUAAACUGAUUCCUUCUAUUUCCUCAACCAGGCUUCAGUUACUUUCUCAUUGAAUAUGAUAGGUCAAAGUUAUUCUACUAGUACAUUUACCUUUUCAAGUUAAAGUGUUUCAUUGAAAAGACUGACACAUAUCUACAAAAAUCCAUCCUAAAGUAAAACAUAUUUUUUUUCCAACACUGACACUAAGGUAGGUCAGUACACUUCUUCCAUGUGAUUCUAGGGGCCUCUGAAACAAUGCAUUUUCUUAUUUCACUAAUGGGCCAUCUUUAAAGAAUUGGGACUAUGUGGGUUAUAAGCUGGUAAUGGUGAGUUCUGUGCAGCAUUAGUCUAGAAGAAAAGAUGCCACUUAGUCACAACAAGUAUGAAAACCUUCUAUUUAACUGAGUAUAGAUUUUGAAGAAUAAGAGGAAGAUCUCCCUUUGGUGAACUCAUUUUCUUGUCUAAAAUUCAGUUUUUUUUCACUUUUUAUGAUCUGGUUCCUUCCUCACCGUGACACCUGGUCAGCCUGUCAGAACCUGCUCUCUUUUCUAGCCAAGGCGUUCUUCAUGCGACACUUCGUGUGUACUCCUAGCUUUAUCCACACAGUGUCACUGUUAGGAUCUAAAUGGGAAAAAAUCAGCAGAUUUCACUUCCUGAUGACAAGUGCAUUUUUAGGUAGAAAUUCCAAUAGUAAAGAUUCUGAGUCUUUGACUUAUUCCCUUGCAUGACCAAAGUGAGAGUUCCUGAAAUGCAUUUUAGAAACCUGAUUGUUAAUGGUCUGCCAGCAACUGUGAACAUUCACUGUAGGCUAAAAUCUUCCCAUACCAGGUCUCUCUUGACAAUGCUCCCUGCCCCUCUUCGCCACAUGAAGAACAUAUAAGGUUCAGGCUAUUUUAUUUUGGGGGGAAAGUAAGUUCAAGAUUAUUAAAGAUUUCUUAUUGGGAUUACACUGUUUCUGUUUCAAAUUGUUCAUCUCUCCCUCCUUCAGCCUCCCCUGCCCCCACUGCCAGAAGCAAUAUUCAGUAUUUGUGAGAUAAGUUUUAAAAAGAUUAAUAAUAAUGCGUACAAAUAUACUUUACACUCUGCUUAUUUUGCAGAUCUUUACAAGUUCUUUCUGGCCCUUGGAGUUGUCAGUUUAUAUCCUAAAGCAUGAGAUUGGAUUACUAUAUCCUUACCCUGCUUGAAUUUUUGACUUUUGUCGUUGGAUUAAAAACAAUGGAUAUGUUAGAAAGAAUAUUGUCUCCCAUUGUUUCUUGUAACACAAAAUAUUACUAGAAAAACAAAAUAUUUAAAAUUUGAUGCAUUUUUGACAUAUUAAGUUCUUGUCUUUUAUUUACUCUGUGAAAUAGAGGCUUUGUUCUUAACGCUUCCCAAACUGCUUUUUCUUUUUCUAUUUUUUUAGAUUAGCUAGGGAGUAAGAUCUCCAUAAGAAUAACACUUCAAACAUCAACUUUUACUGAAAAAAAAUUAAGUUACCAAAGCAUUUCUACUGUUCCAAGUUUUUAAUUUUUCCUCUCUUUACUGAAGAAUUAAAUUCUAAAUCUGAGAGCAAAACAAUUCAUUGGCACUACAUUUAAAUUUAUAUUUUCAUCUGUUCAUUUCUGUCAGUAAAUUCAUAGCCAGCAGGCAUGCAAUUCAUGAGCUGACUCAUGGUUGAGUGAGUCUGAAGGCCAUGUGCCCAUUUCCCUGCUAAACUGGGAAGGUGUUCUGCACUUUUUCUCUAUUCUUUUGGAAGGGUUGCCUAGGUAGGCUAUCCUGGGACUCAAUCUGUCAGCACUGAGUGGGAAAAGGCAAAUCUUACAAAUGCCCCGUCAAUCUUGCAGCUCCAUCUCUCCUAUGGGCUGGUUGACCCAGGCAACAGUCUAUAACUUAAAAUGAAAUUUUUCUGUCAUUACCAAGCUUCCAUUCAAAAUAGCAAGUAUAGCUCUGUAAGGGUAGGUUACCCCAGAGGUGGCUUACAAUGUGUUUUCAUUAUUCUCAAUUGGUUUGGUGAUUUCUCAGCAUAAUAAUUUUUCAGCAGUUUGGUAGCAGCAUAGUGGAAGAGGGUAGGCGGGGAACUUCCGGUUUCAUUCAUGAUCUACACAAUGUAAAAUUAACUAAAUGUUUUAAGCAACUUUUCUGAUCUGAAGAGUGUCUCAUAUAUUUCUAGAUUCUUUUUCCUCCUUUUUUAAACCACCAAUUAAUCUACACUGGUAACUGAUUGUACUUGCUAUUUUGAAUGGAAACUGGGCAAUGACAGAAAAAUUUCAUUUUAAGUUAUGGAUUGUUGCCUGGGUCAACCAGCCCAUAGGAGAGAUGGAGCUGCAAGAUUGACGGGGCAUUUGUGAGAUCUGCCUUUUCCCACUCAGCGCUGACAAUAGCAAGUCACUGGAGAGUUUUGAGCAAGUGAAAAACAGUCCAAUCUAUCAUGCUGGCUGCUGUAUAAAGAGUAGACUAUAGGAGGGCCACUGUGGAAGAGGGGAACUGUCAGGAGGCCACUACAAUCAUCAAGGGAACAGAAAUGAACUGAAAUCAAGAAACAGAAGGGCCAAGGAAAGAAGUCCAUUUGAAUGUAUCAACAUGCAGGUUUAUUAAUUAUUCCCUGAAUAAUCAACAACUAAACCAUUCUGCAUUGCUUGGCUAUUGAAUAUGAUCAAACCUAUAUUUAUCAUUUGGAACUGAAGUUCAAUGUCUUAUACAAGCUUUGUUUGCUCAUGACUAUUCCGUCACCAUUUAUAGAAAGUAUAGUUUUUCAAAAGUGUGAAGAAUCCACCAGCUUUCUGAUCUUUGUGACUCCUCUUAAAGAAAUAAAUAACAACCAGACACAGGACCCCUCCUAUCUGGAUGGGAUCAAGUUAAAUGUCAUCCGUGGGUCAGAGGAGACAACCUAGGAAACCACCACCCAACAGUUUCCUUUAUUUUCCAUGACUGAACACUAGAAAAUUCCCAAAUCCUUCCACUACAAAGAGAAAAGAGUUGUAAAUCAACAGAACGGAAGAGAAACAAAAAGGCAUUUCCUCUAUCUUUAACAAAGGGAACUUAGAGUUAUCAAGAGAAGGAACACGACUUUCUACUUAGCUCCAUAAUUUUCAUUCUAAUGUUAUUAAAAAGAAGUCAUCAUUGGUACAUGGAAGGAUAAAUCUAUAUUUUAAAGUCCCUCUUUUCUGUUGUUGGUCACAAAAGGCAACAAAGAAGCAUCUAAUAAAUAGAAUCUCUUAUUUGAAACAUUGGAAAAAGGAUGCCAGCUCCUGGAAAAUACCUUGCCCAUCAGUAAAGAAAUCGGUCCACAGGGAAUAAAAAUGGAAUGGAGAGCUCUCCAAUGCUGCCCUAUGGGGAGAAAUAAAAGGGGUCUCCACAUGUGGACUUCAUAAAAACUUUGAUAUAAAAGAAAUCUAUUAUCAAAAGUACACGGUAACCCCAGCAAGUGUUCUGUUUAAUCUUUGCACAGAGGAUUUAGGGCCUGCAAAGUGCAAGAGGCAUGAUGCAUUGGCCAUUUUAGUAUUCAUGUCUCCUGUACUGCUUUCUAAUAAGUUAAGAUGAAACGGGAGACUGCGUGCAGGAGUGAGAGAUGCAAGAAAAGCAGUACUGAGAAAUAAAGAUGAACAAAAGUGCA